RNAcentral lists this unclassified non-coding RNA (317 nucleotides) under Hevea brasiliensis (rubber tree). Lineage: Eukaryota; Viridiplantae; Streptophyta; Magnoliopsida; Malpighiales; Euphorbiaceae. The record is from RNAcentral.
AAAAAAAGAAAAAAGAAAAAUUGAACAUCCUCCUAUCGCGUGAAGCCCGCAACAGCGAUAGGGUCGUAGUGAGUCACUGCUUGAAUCGCCGAUCUACAUCUGUCGCUCUUCAGAUCCAUCACCAUUACCGCUCCGCAAUUAUCGUUUUUUUUUUUUUAAAGGGAGAAAAAAUUGGAGCAAAAAUUAAAAAAACCUAGAGAGAGUGUGGAUAGACGGAGAUUAUAGCUGUGUGUAUAUGUUUUGAACGUUGGGAUCGGGAGGGUAAAAUUGGGGUUUUGUCAAAGUUUUGCCUCGAUUUGGCUUUUUCCUCUAUUUCU